UUGAUUGAGGUUUCGGCCAAAUGAUAGGAAUGCUUAGUGGCGGACUGGUGAGUAACGCGUGAGCAACCUGCCUUUCAGUGGGGGACAACAGUUGGAAACGACUGCUAAUACCGCAUAAGCCCACGGUACCGCAUGGUACUGAGGGAAAAGGAUUUAUUCGCUUCAGGAUGGCCUCGCGUCCGAUUAGCUAGUUGGUGAGGUAACGGCCCACCAAGGCGACGAUCGGUAGCCGGACUGAGAGGUUGAACGGCCACAUUGGGACUGAGACACGGCCCAAACUCC
This 282-nucleotide ribosomal RNA is filed under the name uncultured Oscillospiraceae bacterium. RNAcentral's name for it is "partial 16S ribosomal RNA". It matches the Rfam family "Bacterial small subunit ribosomal RNA", at positions 61 to 339 of the family's 1533-position model. The record is from RNAcentral. Lineage: Bacteria; Bacillati; Bacillota; Clostridia; Eubacteriales; Oscillospiraceae.